This 492-nucleotide ribosomal RNA is filed under the name uncultured bacterium. RNAcentral's name for it is "partial 16S ribosomal RNA". It matches the Rfam family "Bacterial small subunit ribosomal RNA", at positions 29 to 507 of the family's 1533-position model. The record is from RNAcentral.
AGUGAACGCUGGCGGUAGGCCUAACACAUGCAAGUCGAACGGCAGCACAGUAAGAGCUUGCUCUUACGGGUGGCGAGUGGCGGACGGGUGAGGAAUACAUCGGAAUCUACUUUUUCGUGGGGGAUAACGUAGGGAAACUUACGCUAAUACCGCAUACGACCUACGGGUGAAAGCAGGGGAUCUUCGGACCUUGCGCGAUUGAAUGAGCCGAUGUCGGAUUAGCUAGUUGGCGGGGUAAAGGCCCACCAAGGCGACGAUCCGUAGCUGGUCUGAGAGGAUGAUCAGCCACACUGGAACUGAGACACGGUCCAGACUCCUACGGGAGGCAGCAGUGGGGAAUAUUGGACAAUGGGCGCAAGCCUGAUCCGGCCAUACCGCGUGGGUGAAGAAGGCCUUCGGGUUGUAAAGCCCUCUUGUUGGGAAAGAAAAGCAGCAGGUUAAUACCCCGCUGUUCUGACGGUACCCAAAGAAUAAGCACCGGCUAACUUCGUG